AGUGAAUCUACUUGGAAGGCAUCUUUAGAAUAAAAAUAUGAAAAUAUACCUUCAUCAUGUAGUCAAAGCAUGAGCUGCUGGGAAGAAUGAAUGAGAAUAUCUCCUGUGGCCAAUAUAUGCAUGCAGUGUAAACUACAAUUUCAAACUAUCUAAAGGCAGAUCUCCAGAGAGAUUUACUGGAGGAGAGAAGAGCAAGAAGCAAGAUGGAUGUUCGCAGCAUAUCCCAGAUUCUGUGUUCUUGGAAUGAAGAGGAGAAAAAAAAAGGGAAAAGCCUGCUCCCUGCCCUGCCCUCAGCUACAAUGUAAGUAGCCCCCUCCCACUCUCAAAUCCAUGCCUGAUGGGAACACCAUGAUGAGGAAGAACCUCCAACGACAAGCAAAAUAAACCUGUCCUUCCUUAAGAUUCUUCUGUCAAAUUUCUUGUCAUAUUUUUGGUAAGAUAAACUAAUGUGAAAUACUGG
Molecule: long non-coding RNA, 460 nt
Filed under: Mus pahari (shrew mouse)
Lineage: Eukaryota; Metazoa; Chordata; Mammalia; Rodentia; Muridae
Description: predicted gene, 44071 (MGP_PahariEiJ_G0002936.1)
Source: RNAcentral